Peromyscus leucopus (white-footed mouse) is the source of this 1196-nucleotide long non-coding RNA. RefSeq lists it as uncharacterized. The record is from RefSeq and is a predicted model, not a curated record. The transcript has 4 exons. NCBI's taxonomy places the organism in Eukaryota, Metazoa, Chordata, Mammalia, Rodentia, Cricetidae.
GAAAAGGCACAGCAUUUCGGCCUUGUCCAAGCCUACCCACAGUUGACCUAGAAAGGAUAUGUUCUAAGUUCCCAGGGACCAACCACGUCUUCAUGGAGGGCAGCACCUCCAGAGGCUACACUCACUCAGCAGCUCCAGUGCUGAUCCUCCCACAGCUCAGUCACUUGUGACACAAAGACCUCCCUGGAAGUAGGGGCCGCUGACAACGUGGGGAAGAGUAAGGAGAAGAGGAAGAGCCGCAGGGAAUGGGGCCAAAGCAGCCUGAGUGGGAGUCUGCCUCGUGCUUGCCAACUCCUGAUCGGCUCUCGGGUGUUUGCUCAUCACUCUGCAGGGCCGUGAGAGCUGUCACCGCGUGUCCAUGCCCUCCAUGCCAGUGAGCUGGAGUCACAGCCACAGGACUUCAUGAAUCCUCCUGAUCUCUGCAUUCAUUUCUUGGCUCUAAAUCAUUUGACACAAUCACAAAAUCUGCCAAGAUGUCAGCAACCGUUCUGUGUUGUUCUACGAAUACACACACCUGUGGUGUCACCAACAACUACAGCUCAUUAAGAAAGGAAAAGAAAGGCCCGCCUGGUACAGGGCCACAUUCUACCAGAACAUCAAAUGAACCUUUGUUAAAAAUCUUCUCCUCUCUGGCAGGCAGAAGGAAUCCAAACACAGCAACUGCCACUCCAGGUGCCGGGGUUUCUGAAGGCCACACUGGACAGAAGAGGGAAUCACCUGAGUUUGGGAAGAUACAUGAAAGCAGUUAGGGGAACCAAGAGAGCAAAGCAACUCAAGAUGGUUCAACAGGAGGUCAGAUGGCUCACUGUGCACAGAAUAAGAAGAAAAUGUGGAAAUCUGUGGCCCUGACCCUAGGAGAAGAAACAUUAGAUCAGCCUCCGAUCCUCACUCCUCCUGAGCUUCCCUGCCUUCCAUUUGUCUGGGGGAUCUGUGUCCAGAGGUCCAACCAAUCAUAGAGAAGGUCUCAGGGGUGGGGCUGCAUCAGCACUGCACAGGCGACAAAGAAAAUAUUAACAGGUGACUCAGUUAUGCAAAGAAUAACAGAAGUGCAGCGCAGCGUUCCAGAUAAGAAGUAAAACUCAGCUGUGAGAAAAGCAAACUCAAGGGCGGUCUCCAAGCUGUCCGAACUAAGAACCAGAAAUAUAAACAUUGUGUUGCUAGAAAUAAAAUGUGGCAUCCAGAAGUCUGGAAGUAGA